RNAcentral lists this ribosomal RNA (338 nucleotides) under Salmonella enterica subsp. enterica serovar Mikawasima. RNAcentral's name for it is "partial 23S ribosomal RNA". It matches the Rfam family "Bacterial large subunit ribosomal RNA", at positions 854 to 1190 of the family's 2925-position model. The record is from RNAcentral. Lineage: Bacteria; Pseudomonadati; Pseudomonadota; Gammaproteobacteria; Enterobacterales; Enterobacteriaceae.
UCUCCCCGAAAGCUAUUUAGGUAGCGCCUCGUGAAUUCAUCUCCGGGGGUAGAGCACUGUUUCGGCUAGGGGGCCAUCCCGGCUUACCAACCCGAUGCAAACUGCGAAUACCGGAGAAUGUUAUCACGGGAGACACACGGCGGGUGCUAACGUCCGUCGUGAAGAGGGAAACAACCCAGACCGCCAGCUAAGGUCCCAAAGUCAUGGUUAAGUGGGAAACGAUGUGGGAAGGCCCAGACAGCCAGGAUGUUGGCUUAGAAGCAGCCAUCAUUUAAAGAAAGCGUAAUAGCUCACUGGUCGAGUCGGCCUGCGCGGAAGAUGUAACGGGGCUAAACCAU